This 22-nucleotide microRNA is filed under the name Ptychodera flava. RNAcentral's name for it is "Pfl-Mir-193-P1c_3p (mature (guide))". The record is from RNAcentral. Lineage: Eukaryota; Metazoa; Hemichordata; Enteropneusta; Ptychoderidae.
AACUGGCCUGUAAAGUCCCGCU